AGCAGAUGUUCAAUAAAUAUUUGUUGAAUCAGUGGAUUAAGUUGUAGGUAACACCGUCUUCAGCACACACGCAGAAGACGACUCCGUGUGAGCUAUGGAGUCAAAUUAACUGCUGCUGUUUGAGAUUGAAUCAUCUUGGAAUCGCCAGUCAGGGCUUGAUCUGCUAAUAAUUCUAAAUUAUCUUCAAGCGGAGAGGAUGCUUUCAUCGGGUCUGAAGCCAGGUCAGUCUACCUUCCAGAACAUGCCCGCCCCUCGGUAUAAUGGCUUGCUCUUAAUAUUUCAGAGACAAGUGCAAGUUACGUUCGGUGAGGCAUAUAGACGCUCCAACAGGUCUGGGACGGGAUGUUGGUCAAACUGGAAACUAGAACGAGAAUAAGCUCUUCUCCUUUUCCAUUACUUAAGCAUCUAUACCCAUUGGCCUCUUGACUGGUGGCAGACCAGUCAUGUGACACCGAAACAGAAAUACCUUCCCUGGUGCUAAAAUGUUCUCAAGAGAGCUGACACAGUCACCUUAAAAUAUGUUUACUCUAUAAAAAACAUACUUCGAAUGUUUUGCCCAAGAGGAAAUCUUCACACACACCCCAAAGUGCCGUGCUUGGCUAUUAAAGAGACGUCAAUUUUUCAGAAGAAAUAGCUCCCUCCUUAUUCUGAUUGGAUUAACAAGAACAAUAAAAUGCUAACAUGUAGGUAGGAGGAAGUGUUUGCUCUUCUCAGAAUUCUCCAAAUGGUGGGAAGACAUUAAACAAUUUACUAUCAUUUUGUUGUACAUCUUAAACUUACACAGUGUCAAUUGUGAUGUCAAUUAUAUCUCAAUAAAACUGAAAAAAAUUAGUCAAUUAAAACUGUAAAUACUGUUUUAAAGUAUUACAUUAAAAAGGACCUACAGAAUAAAGUAGGCUUUUUUGAUGGGUGGGGGUAAUAUUCUGUGGCUUUUUGGGUACUAUCCCCAACUGAGUGUAUUAUUUUUCUUUACAUUUCCCCCUCUUCUUUUCCUCUUUAAUUGAAGGAAAAAGACUCUAAAAUGUUUUUUCUAACCUCUAAUUUUUUUUCAUGACCUACCUACUAACUUCAUUUGAUAUUA
Long non-coding RNA from Canis lupus familiaris (dog), 1081 nucleotides. RefSeq lists it as uncharacterized. The record is from RefSeq and is a predicted model, not a curated record. NCBI's taxonomy places the organism in Eukaryota, Metazoa, Chordata, Mammalia, Carnivora, Canidae. The transcript has 3 exons.